This 4926-nucleotide long non-coding RNA is filed under the name Malus domestica (apple). Its description in RNAcentral is "long non-coding RNA (MDOM_LNC009142)". Lineage: Eukaryota; Viridiplantae; Streptophyta; Magnoliopsida; Rosales; Rosaceae. The record is from RNAcentral.
AUUACAACAUGCUCUUCAUUACCAAACCUUAAUGGAAACAUGAACGAAGAUGCAAUUCCAAUAAAAAUGAGAAUUACGUAUUCAAUUGUAAACUACUAAUAUAGCUUUGAUUAAUUAAAGCAAAAAUAAUUGAAAGAACAAAACCAUUUUGGAAGUCUGAUAAAGGUUUAGCAUAUAUACUGGAACUUGGAUAAGGGUUUGUCAGCAAUGUUAUCAAACUAGUCCAAACCACUUGAUUGAAGCAGCAAAUGUACAACUCCAUGCCAUCCAAGCCUAAAUAAAUCAUGAAUUUUUUUUUUAUUUUAGUUUUGUUAACUUCAAAUGGUUAAAACAUUCAAGCUCAACAUAUAUAAUUUCUUGUUGUACAGAUUCUCAAAUUGGCUGUUAGCUUCUCACAACCAUUUAUGUCACAAAGUAAAAUUUAGAGAUAGAUAUACCUAUAAAAUAAAACCAAUGAGCUUAGAAUUGGUUCUCUCUAUGACAGGCACCACUUGCAGCUGGUGCUUUGAAAGAAGCAGCCGAACAUGGAAGAGUGUUUCAUCCAAGUGUAGGGGGAAAUACAAAUCCCAGAUAAACGACUUAGCUAACUCGCCAAUCUGUUAGAAUUAAAUAAAAGUGCUCAUAAAAAUGUUAAACAAUGUGUAUAAAAGUAUCACUUUAAAGUUCUAAACUACAAGUUCACAAUGAAGGCCUGGUGUUAUAACUUGGUUGGUACUCCAACAUAUAGCUAAGAAGAUUGCAACACUGGUUUCUCUGCCUUGUAAGAAUAUGAACAUGAGAUUAGGUGAUCUGGCAUUAGCUAUUUGAGACCAAUUGGUAUAAGAAAGCCUUAUGGGAAGAUGUAUACUAGUUCUUGUCAAUAGAGGAUUAUAUUGUAGUAAUGAACUGAUAUGGAUUGGCAAAACAUAAGUUGUUUUCCAUAAGGAUUCUAAUAGGGAGUUCUUAUUUUGUUAUGAGAAGAGAUAUGUGUAUAUGUAUAUAUAUAGCGAUCUCUCCUCUCACAGGAUCAUGCUUUUUUGGAACUAAACCCCAUUCUUAGUUUGAGCAAUAAGCAUCCCGAUAGAGAAAAGAUGAGCUGGUGUGCAUUCAGGUUAAUCGUGAAUAACCAUGGUUGCAUCCAAUGGAAGUUCUUCAGGUUAGUAUGCUUCAACCUUACAUGGAUUAGUGUUCUAUAUUUUGUUCGGUUGUUAUUCGAAUAACUGAAUCUUGUUUGUGGUUUAGAAUUAACAUGUGGUAUCAGACCCAUAGAUUCAGGUUCUUAAAUUCAAUCAACAAAAUCGAUAGAAUCCUAAUAUAAAAAAAAAAAAAAAAAAAAUCAUCUUUACUACCAUUAGGUUUUGAAACUGGUUCUAGACUUAAAACUGGGUCCAGGAAAAACAGUGUGUUUUAAUAAAAUAUGAUUGUUUAAUUUUUUUUUAUCGUUAGAACUCAAAGCCUAUCUACUUAUGGGGGUUUUCUCGAAUUAGGAAUACAACAAUUUACCUUUUCAAUUUCGAAUUUUGUUGAUUUGGGUUGUUCAAGUUGUUGUUGAGUCUUCAAUAUAUAUAAUAAAGGGAACUUUAAUGAAAAGCUCCCGGUACUGUUCACCUUAACGAAAAAUCACAUUUUUACACUAAAAAGUUAAUCCUAGUACUAUUCACUUUACCCUUUAUUUGUCCUUAUCGUUAAAACUCAAAGUUUUCAAGCCAUUUUCAUUAGUUUUCCUUAUUAUUAAAUGCUUUCACGCGUGGGUAUUGAUACUCAUUGAACGAAAGGAUAUGUCUUCUAAGCAUUGGAUUGAAAUUUGGAUUUUGAUCCAUCUUAUCUCUAAUAUAUUCCUUUCUUCAACAUGAUUUGAAUAACAAACAUCACGAUUACGCUUAUUUCUGUUUUUUAAUCCCAUGAUUAUGCAUUUUCUCUAAUUGUCUAUGGAAGAAAGUUUAGCUUGGACCUUCUACAGACAUCACUUGUUUUAUGAAAAAAAAAAUUGAUGAACUAAGAAUUGUUUAUCUGAGACAAAUCCAUUAUAAUGUUGAGAUGGUUGUCCAUGAUUACAUAACAAUUAAUUCUUAAUGUUCUGCAAAACCUUUUAUUCUAUAUGUGCUUAUCAACCUUUCAUUGUUAAGAUUAUGCAUAUGCAUAAUAGUUUUGAUGAUAGGAUGUACAAUAGACUGAGAAAAGAAAUUUGGAACCUAAAAGUCUUUUGUGAUUUCAUUAUUUUCUUCAGUGUCUACAAUAUCAAUGAAGACCCUCAAUUUGGCUAACAUUCCAAUCCUCACUGGUGGGGGUAAUUACAAGAAGUGGAGAAUGGACAUUAGUUUGCUAUUAACUCUAAAUGAGUUUGAUAUAGCAAUUGAUAAUCUCAAGCUUGUCAUCAAUUGUCAGAGCACCUGAGCUGAAAAUGCAGAUUUUGAGAGAUGGACAAGAGCUAAUAAAAUGGCACUAUCUAUCCUAGAGAGUGGUAUUACUGAUACAAUUCGAGGAGGAAUCAAGACACCUGAUUUGGCUGUUAACUACUUGAAUGCAACUGAAAAGAAAUUUAAAGAAUUUGAGAAAGCUGAAGUGUGACUAUACAUAUCUCUAUUGACUGCAUACAAGAUUAAGGGUACUUGUCACGCCCCGAUCCCGACAUACGUCCAAGAUCAACACGUGACGUCACCAAAUACCCGUAUAUCUAUCAUACCUCGCCUCCUGAAUAUAUACAAAGUAUCCUUCAAGAUCCAGAUGCACAAUAAUUUUUCGUAUACUUUAUGGUUGCAUCUAACCUCUUCAUUAGACUGCCUACGUACCCUCAAUAGAGAUCAAGUCAUUCGUAAUUCACCUUAUCACAAAAUCAGACGUUUAUUCACUAAGUUCAAGCAAAAAAGCAUAGCAUUCCUCAAUCAUUUAUUAUAACCUGACAACAUGUAAUUCCUGGACUCAGGCUACAUAACCAAUCCCCAUGAAAACAUGAUUUCUCUCUCACAAACAUAUAAAUCAUUAUGUCUCAUCAUGAUAUCGCAAUUCACAACACACAUCAUAUUUAAGAGCCGACGAAACACAAAACCAUUCUCUAGCCGCAUUAAUUAAUUAAUUUGAUCAAAGUAAUAACAAUCAUUCCCAUAUCUUCUAAAUUCAUACCUUAUGAAAUCAUAAUCGAAUCAUAGAAAAUCCCGAAUGAUAUCCUAUAAAAUGUACCAAGUACAACCAAUCAUCAUCACCUCUAGAAUGCGUAUGGUCCCCCAUCGCGGAUAUACCAAGCAGAACCAUAGGCAUAAUAUCAUCGUGCAAGCAGUGAUCACCCAUCGCGGAUAUACCAAGCAUGAUCACCCCUGAAUACAUAUGGUCCCCCUUCACAGAUAUACCAAGCAGGACCACAUCCAUGUACCACUACUACGUGGUGCAAUCUCAUCAUCACACAUUAAACAUAAUUAUACGCAUACAUGUUAUCGAUUCUACAUAUCAACCAACAUCUAGUCAUAUGGAACACAACACAAGGAAUUCCCUUAAUUACUAUUUCUACUAAAAAUCUAAUAAAGUACCUAACUCAUUUCCAUCUCAAGCUAGGUAGUAAUGCCAAGUUCAAAUAGGUAUUCAGUUGGCAAUCAUAUCCAAAUAAUUAUCAAACAAUAAUUAAAUCUCAUAAUUGUCAUAACAUUCAUCAUAAUUAUCAAUCACAUUAUUAAAAAGAUAAUUAAACACAUAUAUAUCACAAACAUCAUCAGUGUACAAGCCAAAUCCUAUUUAAUAAGCAUAGGCCUAUGGCUAAAUAUAUAAAAUCACAUUUAUAAAACCAAGUCGUAAUCACAAUUGAUAUUAAUAUAAGAAUUUAAGGUAAUCACCAUAGCCCAUAUAUUCAAGUCACUCUCUAACCAAUGUAGGCCCACUAGGCAUCACUGUGUCUCCCGUAGUACUAAUUUUAGUAUUUAGAACGUUUUGAGACAUGUUGACCAAAAGUCAACUCUCGAUCAAAGGUAGGGUUCACAAUUCUACAUAACUCGAUCCAUAAGAUCCACACGUUGGAUUUCAGAUCUGCAAUUUUUGUAAAAUUCACAUUAUUCCUCUAAAACAACAUACUAAAAUUUCAUCACGAUCCGACGGUUGGAUCUCCAACAAUUUCAAAAUUCAAGUGCGCGAGCGACAUUUAAUUUUACAAACUUAAAAAUCUAAUUAGGGAAGAUCCGUACGUCGGAUUCCCGAUCUGUAAGUUUCUAUAAUCCACAAAUGUUAUGUUCUAUCACGCAUUAAGGUUUGGUGACGAUCCAAUAGUCGGAUCGUCAAAUCAUAUUUUUGACCAAACCACGUAUCGUAAUGAAAUUAGGUUCAACGAUCAAUCCAUGUCAUACGAAUAUCAAAUACAAAGUUAGGACAUCUAAUUGAACUUAGAAAGUCAUCAUCGGGCCACUGGCCACGUGCCACCGUAGGUGGCUGUCGGCCACCCAAACUUGCCGGAAAAUUCAACUAUUUUAAAAAAUUAUGAAAUUUUACAGGCAAGUAGAUCUCAGUGAGGGGAACAAUUUUCAUACCUGUGAACAAGGACAAUUUUUCCGGGAAACACCUCGAUUUUACACAAACCCGCACUAACCCUAGAAAAGGGUGUGCUUCGAUUCGGAAUCCAUACGAGCUCCGAUGCCUCCACCACUGCUUGGGCUUUGUUCCUGGGGUUGAGAGGAGUCCUUUUGUGGUGGUCAUUGAUGGUAAAGCUUGCCGGAGCCACUGGAAAAAGGAUAAAACCGUCCUGAUACCUGUGGGUUUGUGGCUUCGAACUGAAAAAAUGGGAAAUAAAUUGAGAAAUCUAACACUACAAAGAUGUAGGGCUCGUUAAGGGCUUUCCAUGGACAUCAAGAUCACCCAAAACAGAGUUCGUAUGAAGGAGAUAUGAGCGAUUCAAUUUUGAUGGUUCGCGGGUCAAAAUGACCAAUUUCGGGUCUACCUCCUUUCCCCUCCUUUCCUCCUCUUUGAUUGGCU